RNAcentral lists this ribosomal RNA (376 nucleotides) under uncultured eukaryote. RNAcentral describes it as "partial 18S ribosomal RNA". It matches the Rfam family "Eukaryotic small subunit ribosomal RNA", at positions 592 to 976 of the family's 1831-position model. The record is from RNAcentral.
CAAUAGCGUAUAUUAAAGUUGUUGCAGUUAAAAAGCUCGUAGUUGGAUUUCUGGCUUGUGCUGAUUGGGCCCGCCUCGCGGUGUGUGCCCGAUUGCCGGCCAUCUUUCUGCAGACGUUUCCUGUAAUUCAUUUUAUGGGUCUCUGCGAGCAGAUAUUUACCUUGAGGAAAUUAGAGUGUUUCAGGCAGGCUUGGCCGGAAUACAUUAGCAUGGAAUAAUAGAAGAGGACCCCGGCGUCAUUUGUUGGUUUGAGGCGUUGGAGUAAUGAUUAAUAGGGAUAGUUGGGGGCAUUAGUAUUUAAUUGUCAGAGGUGAAAUUCUCGGAUUUGUUAAAGACUAACUUAUGCGAAAGCAUUUGCCAAGGAUGUUUUCAUUAA